UGGCUUCGGCAGCCCAUAUUACUAAAACUGAAACGAUACAAAGAAGAUUAGCGUGGUCCCUGGGCAAGGAUGACAUGCAAAUUCGUGAAAUGUUCCAUAUUUUA
Molecule: small nuclear RNA, 104 nt
Organism: Eptesicus fuscus (big brown bat)
Lineage: Eukaryota; Metazoa; Chordata; Mammalia; Chiroptera; Vespertilionidae
Source: RefSeq, a predicted model, not a curated record